RNAcentral lists this ribosomal RNA (301 nucleotides) under uncultured bacterium. Its description in RNAcentral is "partial 16S ribosomal RNA". It matches the Rfam family "Bacterial small subunit ribosomal RNA", at positions 509 to 807 of the family's 1533-position model. The record is from RNAcentral.
CAGCCGCCACGGUAAUACAGAGGGUGCAAGCGUUAAUCGGAUUUACUGGGCGUAAAGCGUGCGUAGGUGGCUGUUUAAGUCGGAUGUGAAAGCCCUGGGCUUAACCUGGGAACUGCAUUCGAUACUGGAUAGCUAGAGAUCGGUAGAGGGCAGCGGAAUUCCGGGUGUAGCGGUGAAAUGCGUAGAUAUCCGGAGGAACACCGAUGGCGAAGGCAACUGCCUGGGCCUGAUCUGACACUGAGGCACGAAAGCGUGGGUAGCAAACAGGAUUAGAUACCCCAGUAGUCCCUGUCUCUUAUAC